CCUACGGGAGGCAGCAGUGGGGAAUAUUGGACAAUGGGGGGAACCCUGAUCCAGCCAUGCCGCGUGUGUGAAGAAGGCCCUCGGGUUGUAAAGCACUUUCAGUGAGGAAGAACGCCUGGUGGUUAAUACCCAUCAGGAAAGACAUCACUCACAGAAGAAGCACCGGCUAACUCCGUGCCAGCAGCCGCGGGAAUACGGAGGGUGCGAGCGUUAAUCGGAAUUACUGGGCGUAAAGCGCGCGUAGGUGGCUUGAUAAGCCGGUUGUGAAAGCCCCGGGCUCAACCUGGGAACGGCAUCCGGAACUGUCAAGCUAGAGUGCAGGAGAGGAAGGUAGAAUUCCCGGUGUAGCGGUGAAAUGCGUAGAGAUCGGGAGGAAUACCAGUGGCGAAGGCGGCCUUCUGGACUGACACUGACACUGAGGUGCGAAAGCGUGGGUAGCAAACAGGAUUAGAUACCCGGGUAGUC
This 465-nucleotide ribosomal RNA is filed under the name Vreelandella stevensii. Its description in RNAcentral is "partial 16S ribosomal RNA". It matches the Rfam family "Bacterial small subunit ribosomal RNA", at positions 338 to 795 of the family's 1533-position model. The record is from RNAcentral. Lineage: Bacteria; Pseudomonadati; Pseudomonadota; Gammaproteobacteria; Oceanospirillales; Halomonadaceae.